UACGUAGGGUCCGAGCGUUGUCCGGAAUUACUGGGCGUAAAGGGUGCGCAGGCGGUUUUGUAAGUCAGAUGUGAAAUCCCCGGGCUCAACCUGGGAAUGGCAUUUGGGACUGCAAGGCUAGAGUGUGGCAGAGGAGACUGGAAUUCCCGGUGUAGCAGUGAAAUGCGUAGAUAUCGGGAGGAAUACCGAUGGCGAAGGCAGGUCUCUGGGCUGACACUGACGCUCAUGCACGAAAGCGUGGGGAGCAAACAGG
Molecule: ribosomal RNA, 253 nt
Filed under: uncultured bacterium
Lineage: Bacteria
Description: partial 16S ribosomal RNA
Rfam family: Bacterial small subunit ribosomal RNA
Source: RNAcentral